Molecule: non-coding RNA, 73 nt
Organism: Odocoileus virginianus texanus
Lineage: Eukaryota; Metazoa; Chordata; Mammalia; Artiodactyla; Cervidae
Source: the annotation of a RefSeq genome assembly
UCCCUUGUGGUCCAGUGGCUAAGACUCUGUACUCCCAAUACAGAGGGCCCGUGUUCAAUUCCCGGUCAGGGAA